Prosopis cineraria is the source of this 656-nucleotide long non-coding RNA. RefSeq lists it as uncharacterized. The record is from RefSeq and is a predicted model, not a curated record. The transcript is spliced from 3 exons. NCBI's taxonomy places the organism in Eukaryota, Viridiplantae, Streptophyta, Magnoliopsida, Fabales, Fabaceae.
ACUCCUGUUCGUGAAUUCCUCCAUUUCCCACUUCCAAGGUUUCUGCCAGAAACCUCUGUGCUUGCCUCUGGCGGAUUCUGCCCACCAAGAGGCCCCACUUGCUGCUGUAACCAAUGUUUACACAACACCUUGCCGCCGCCGCCGCCGCGAUAAAUCGUUUGAGCAGCCGGCAUCUGCAAGUAACUUGAAAAAACAAGUUGCUGCAUCACUUGCUCAGCACACAUAGAUCUGUUGAACAAAAUUGCCACGCUAUACAGCCUCUAUCCUCUUCGAAUCACGGUAACUUGGCUGAGACGGCAAGAUGCAAUUGUGAGGUAACACCCACAAGUUCCUUGGACGUCAAAGGUAGGAUCCGAGAAUCAGUUGUUGUAACUUUAAAACAUCCAGAGGGUUACUAAAAGUACUUAACCGUAUCCAGAGCAUCAAAGAACAACAUGCAUCAAAUAUAUCUGUUGUGAAUGACCUGAAAGUGGAACUAGAUCUUUCUCGUGCACAGAUCAAAGAAUUAAAACGAGAGAAGCAAAUGAAUAUUUGGCAAAUAAAGAGCUUAACGAAGCAAACGGCAGAGAGAAGUUUGUCAGGAGGAACAAUGCAAAUGACAGACUUAAAAUCGCAGUUCAAUCAGUCGAGGAAGAGCUAGAAGGUGAGACGAGAUC